AUUGAACGCUGGCGGCAGGCCUAACACAUGCAAGUCGAGCGGAUGAAGGGAGCUUGCUCCUGGAUUCAGCGGCGGACGGGUGAGUAAUGCCUAGGAAUCUGCCUGGUAGUGGGGGAUAACGUCCGGAAACGGGCGCUAAUACCGCAUACGUCCUGCGGGAGAAAGUGGGGGAUCUUCGGACCUCACGCUAUCAGAUGAGCCUAGGUCGGAUUAGCUAGUUGGUGGGGUAAAGGCCUACCAAGGCGACGAUCCGUAACUGGUCUGAGAGGAUGAUCAGUCACACUGGAACUGAGACACGGUCCAGACUCCUACGGGAGGCAGCAGUGGGGAAUAUUGGACAAUGGGCGAAAGCCUGAUCCAGCCAUGCCGCGUGUGUGAAGAAGGUCUUCGGAUUGUAAAGCACUUUAAGUUGGGAGGAAGGGCAGUAAGUUAAUACCUUGCUGUUUUGACGUUACCAACAGAAUAAGCACCGGCUAACUUCGG
Molecule: ribosomal RNA, 483 nt
Filed under: uncultured bacterium
Lineage: Bacteria
Description: partial 16S ribosomal RNA
Rfam family: Bacterial small subunit ribosomal RNA
Source: RNAcentral